RNAcentral lists this ribosomal RNA (468 nucleotides) under uncultured bacterium. RNAcentral's name for it is "partial 16S ribosomal RNA". It matches the Rfam family "Bacterial small subunit ribosomal RNA", at positions 28 to 507 of the family's 1533-position model. The record is from RNAcentral.
GACGAACGCUGGCGGCGUGCUUAACCCAGGCAAGUCGAACGGAAAGGCCCUGCUUUUGUGGUGUGCUCGAUUGGCGAACGGGUGAGUAACACGUGAGUAACCUGCCCUUGACUUUGGGAUAACUUCCGGAAACUGGGGCUAAUACCGGAUAUGAGCUCCUGCUGCAUGGGGGGGGUUGGAAAGUUUCGGCGGUUGGGGAUGGACUCGCGGCUUAUCAGCUUGUUGGUGGGGUAGUGGCUUACCAAGGCUUUGACGGGUAGCCGGCCUGAGAGGGUGACCGGCCACAUUGGGACUGAGAUACGGCCCAGACUCCUACGGGAGGCAGAAGUGGGGAAUAUUGCACAAUGGGCGGAAGCCUGCUGCAGCAACGCCGCGUGCGGGAUGACGGCCUUCGGGUUGUAAACCGCUUUCGCCUGUGACGAAGCGUGAGUGACGGUAAUGGGUAAAGAAGCACCGGCUAACUACGUG